Long non-coding RNA from Diachasma alloeum, 2041 nucleotides. RefSeq lists it as uncharacterized. The record is from RefSeq and is a predicted model, not a curated record. NCBI's taxonomy places the organism in Eukaryota, Metazoa, Arthropoda, Insecta, Hymenoptera, Braconidae. The transcript has 5 exons.
UCGUGAGACGGAGCGUUUUUUGGUCGAAAAUGUGAGAAGCAAUUACGUAUGCAUCCACGAGAUGGCGUAAGGCGCUAAUUAUUGUUGUUGCUUCCCUGUCAAAAUGGAAUGACAGGUUAAGAUUACUGUUAAUGUUUGAAAAUUGAUUUAUAACUCGAUAACAGUAAUUCAGCGAAAAAAAAACCAAAUGCAAUUAAUGUAAUUCAUUAAUUUUUAUAUUGUAUAUACUUCUCCAUCCAUCCGUAUAUAUCAAGUGUUGCGGAGUACUGCCGAUCUAGAUUGGAGUAGAGUGAUGUGAUUUGUGGUCCUUGAGACACAUUUGAAAUUCUUCGAUUAUUUGAAUUUAUAUCUACAGUUGAAUGGAUCUAUUAGAGCUAUUAUUAGAUGAGGAAGACGGUUUGGAAAUUUGGCGAGAAAAACAAACGCUUCGUUUUCAUCGUCUGCAUAUACGAGACGCAGUGAACCCAUUUGACAUCCCUGACUUACAAUUCGUUCGACUAUUUAGAUUCACCCGGCAGGGUGCAAUGUCACUCCUUGAUGAGUUGGCUGGUUUUCUCCCAGAAUCCACCAGGAAGGAUGUCAUACCCAUUCAUCUGCAGGUGCUAGCAACCCUGAAUUUUUUAUCUGGCGGUUCCUAUCAACGCAAAGUUGCAGGAGAUUUUUUGGCAUGCAUGAGCCAGACAUGUGUGAGUCGCUUCCUUCAUAGAGUGGUAGAAGCACUGAAUCAAAUUUUGCACAGAUGGAUUUGUUUUCCCAAAACAGAUGCUGCGAUCAGGCAAAUUCAGGAAGGGUGAGCGAUAAUUCACCAUGUAUCGAUGAAUGAUAGAUUUUUAUUAAUAAACAAAGCUCUAAGGGGAUUUUUUUGACUAAUAGAUUCCAAUUUCGAUGGAUUUCAGCAUUCAACUUAAUUCAUUACUUCAUACUUUAUUUGAACUAGUACCAUGUAGAUUUUAUGAUAAUUUAUAAGAUUUUAGGAAAAAAAGAAAAAUUAUUAUAGAUUAUACUCAGGGAUAAAUUGUAGAAUAAUUCAGAAAUCUUCUUGUCAUCAGCUAAAAUUAUCAAUCAGUUGAAAUCGACAAAAAAGAUGGACCAUUUAAAUGAAUGGAGUAAUUGUAGUUUGUUACAGAUAUUUGAAUGAAAAAAACUCCUUGUUAUCCUGGAAACUGAAUUAAAAAAUUGAAAAUCCUGGUCAUUUUUAUAAGAAUAAUGAUAGAAAAAAAUGGACUUCCUGUUACGCCAGAUAUUAAAUUCAAAAUCUUUUGCCUCCCUAAACUUUUAACUGCUCUUUCUACGUAUACACUGGGGUGAUUUAUCAUACCACCCCAUUGCUAUAUUCACCUUGCAUUCGGAACGCAUCAGCAAAGUAUCAUAUCGUAUAAUAAACAUUAUUCUAUAGUUUUUGGGAGUGUGAUGGUUUCCGCGAUGUGAUGGGCUUGAUCGACUGUACGCACGUAUCAAUUGUGAAGCCAUCCGGAAACCGAGAGGCUCAUUUCAUCAAUCGAAAACAUUAUCAUUCGUUAAAUGUGCAAGUUGUAUGUGAUCAUAAACUCCGAAUCCUCACUAUCAAUUCCUCCCAUGGAGGGAGAACCCACGACUCUCGUGUUUUUGCUUCGUCUCAAUUAUCAGGCUACUUGAGGGAACAGUAUGAGGCAGGGCGGCGCGACUGUUGGUUAUUGGGUGAUUCGGGCUACCCUUUACUGCCCUUUUUGUUAACUCCAAUACUUAAUGCACCCGAAGGAACACCAGAACAUCGAUACACGAAAUGUCAUGCUCGAACAAGAUCAACAGUGGAACGAUGUUUUGGAGCGCUAAAAGGAAAAUGGAGAUGUAUCUGUAAGGAGAGAACUCUCUACUACGCUCCAGAGUUCGCAGUCUUGGAAGGAUUGGAAGGGUGCAGUUCUGAAGGCUGUGGGAAAACUGAAAGGAUAUGCUCGAGGUACUGGGGGAGGUGAGCCACGGUUCGAUAAAUUCGCACUAGUCGAUCAGGCAUUAUUGGAAUUUCUGGGACCAGACGCCUAUGGUAUGCCCCAUAUUCAAGAAG